UUUGUUGUAAUUUGAAAGGUCGCAAGUUUGUUUUGAAUUGUUUUGAAUUAGAAAUUGUGGGUAUGAAAAUUGGAAAGUUUGUCACAAAAAAUUGUUCUGUUUUUCAAUAUUUGUUCUCUUCAAAAAUUGAAACUCAGUUUAUUCUAAUUCAGUAAAUUUACUACUCUAAAUUACAAUAUUUAUGCAAAAUUUAUAGUUUUUCGAGGAUACAGCCCAACUUUCAACAAAAAAGUAAAAAUGUCCAUGUCGCUUUUUGAUACACCUGUUUUUUUUCAACUUUCUGUUCGAAAAUAUUCUAAAGUUUAGUACACAAGCUUAGCACAUUAUAUUAAUGUACGCACAUUCACUGUUCACAAAUGAUACUUUUGACAAGAAAUUAUUUACUGAUUUAUCUAAUAAUUAUCACAUUUACAUUUCUUGUCAAAUUUUUGUUAUUUAUGAUCUUACUUAAAUACCCUGGACACAAACUUAUAAGACCAAACCAAGUACAAAGUAUUAAAACAUCGGAGAGAAAAUUUGGGAGAUAAAAUAUAUCACGCCGAUCUUAAAAAGGUUAAAAAGUCUUUCAAACAUGUAAAAACCUUGAAUUUUAUUUAUCAACUAAUCUACAAGCGCGGGAACUGUGCGAAAUGAUCAAAAACUGAUAUUUUUCUAAAUUAUAAAACUGUUAAAUAACUGUAUGUUUAUUUGUAAUCGGACCACCACCCAGUGAUAUGUUAAAUAAAUGUUGUUUUUCAAA
This is a long non-coding RNA of Eurytemora carolleeae, 739 nucleotides long. RefSeq lists it as uncharacterized. NCBI's taxonomy places the organism in Eukaryota, Metazoa, Arthropoda, Copepoda, Calanoida, Temoridae. The record is from RefSeq and is a predicted model, not a curated record. The transcript has 2 exons.